RNAcentral lists this ribosomal RNA (914 nucleotides) under uncultured marine archaeon. RNAcentral describes it as "bacterial SSU rRNA". It matches the Rfam family "Archaeal small subunit ribosomal RNA", at positions 1 to 922 of the family's 1478-position model. The record is from RNAcentral.
UUCCGGUUGAUCCCGCCGGACCUGACUGCUAUCGGAUUGAUACUAAGCCAUGCGAGUCUUUGCAGUAAUGCAAGGCAUACGGCUCAGUAACACGUAGUCAACUUACCCUAUGGACGAGGAUAAUCUCGGGAAACUGAGCAUAAUACUCGAUAGAUCAUAAUGCCUGGAAUGGUUUAUGGUUGAAACGAUUCGUCGCCAUAGGAUAGGACCGCGGCCUAUCAGCUUGUUGGUGAGGUAAUGGCCCACCAAGGCGAUAACAGGUACGGGCUCUGAGAGGAGAAGCCCGGAGAUGGGUACUGAGACAAGGACCCAGGCCCUAUGGGGCGCAGCAGGCGAGAAAACUUUGCAAUGUGCGAAAGCACGACAAGGUUAGUCCGAGUGAUUUCUGCUAAAGAGAUCUUUUGUUAGUCCUAGAAACACUAACGAAUAAGGGGUGGGCAAGUUCUGGUGUCAGCCGCCGCGGUAAAACCAGCACCUCAAGUGGUCAGGAUGAUUAUUGGGCCUAAAGCAUCCGUAGCCGGCUCUGUAAGUUUUCGGUUAAAUCUGUACGCUCAACGUACAGGCUGCCGGGAAUACUGCAGAACUAGGGAGUGGGAGAGGUAGACGGUACUCGGUAGGAAGUGGUAAAAUGCUUUGAUCUAUCGAUGACCACCUGUGGCGAAGGCGGUCUACCAGAACACGUCCGACGGUGAGGGAUGAAAGCUGGGGGAGCAAACCGGAUUAGAUACCCGGGUAGUCCCAGCUGUAAACUAUGCAAACUCAGUGAUGCAUUGGCUUGUGGCCAAUGCAGUGCUGCAGGGAAGCCGUUAAGUUUGCCGCCUGGGAAGUACGUACGCAAGUAUGAAACUUAAAGGAAUUGGCGGGGGAGCACCACAAGGGGUGAAGCCUGCGGUUCAAUUGGAUUCAACGCCGGG